RNAcentral lists this unclassified non-coding RNA (236 nucleotides) under plant metagenome. RNAcentral's name for it is "partial contains small subunit ribosomal RNA, internal transcribed spacer 1, and 5.8S ribosomal RNA". The record is from RNAcentral.
UUUCCGUAGGUGAACCUGCGGAAGGAUCAUUACUGAGUCAGGGCCCCUCGGGGUCCAACCUCCCACCCGUGUUUAACGAACCUUGUUGCUUCGGCGGGCCCGCCUCACGGCCGCCUGGGGGCAUCUCCCCCCGGGCCCGCGCCCGCCGAAGCCACCUGUGAACGCUGUAUGAAAUAUGCAGUCUGAGACAAUUAUUAAAUUAAUUAAAACUUUCAACAACGGAUCUCUUGGUUCCG